RNAcentral lists this long non-coding RNA (38698 nucleotides) under Malus domestica (apple). Its description in RNAcentral is "long non-coding RNA (MDOM_LNC014443)". Lineage: Eukaryota; Viridiplantae; Streptophyta; Magnoliopsida; Rosales; Rosaceae. The record is from RNAcentral.
CGGUGGCUGCUGCUGGGGAUGAGAAGAAAGAAGCGCGUAGGGUUCAGACUGCAUUGAGGGAGUUAUUUGAUUAUCUGGGCAUGUUUUUGGUGGGUGAUGCGGUUCCUUAUCUGCGGUGGUUGGAUUGGGGUGGACAUGAGAAGGCAAUGAAGAAAAGUGCAACGGAAAUGCACGCCAUUAUUGCAGAGUGGGUUGUAGAGCAUAAGCAGAGGAGAGCAAAAGGUGAUGCAAAAGGAGAACAGGACUUCAUAGAUGCGUUGCUUUCUGUGCUUAAUGGUGCAGACCUUGGCAGUUUUGAUGCUGAUACGAUCACCCAAGCCACAAGCUUGGUACGUAUAUAUAAUUUAUUAAAUUUGCAGGCAAAUAAUUAACCAUAAAAGGCUGGAGGUAGACACUAAACACAUCAAGAUUUUAUUUUUACUUUUCAAUACUUAUAAGCUAGUUGCAUGGUCUAUAAAAAGAAAAUGAAAACAUUAGGCAAUAAUUUUUUUUUUUUUGAAAACAUAUGUCCACUUUUAUACAUGACUCAUCCGACAUAUUUGUCUGCUCAUCAAUGGAUGAUGGUAGAGAAAUUAUCUUGUUAGAUUGUAUCUGUAGAGCAUAUGAUGUGACGGUUGAUGGUUAGAUUCUUUUUUUAAAUCUUUAAGAAUGAAAUUCAACUAUUAUUGCAGGAGGUACUGUUACAUUCUUUGAUUUACAAGAUGUAAUUUAAAAAGAUAAUCUCUUUAACAUUUUCGUCAAGAAUGUGUAAAUGUUAAUCAAGCAAAUAUUCCUUGGGCAGGCUAUUAUUGCAGGAGGUGCCGAUACCACCACGGUGGCAGUGACGUGGGCAAUAUCGUUAUUGCUGAACAACCCUCACGUUAUGAAAAAAGCUCUAAACGAACUGGACACCAAAAUAGGCAGACAAAGAGUUGUGAGUGAUGAAGAUAUAAGCAACUUGGUCUACAUCCAAGCUAUUGUAAAGGAGACGUUACGUUUGUACCCAGGAGGACCAUUAUCAGGGCCGCGUAUAUUCACCGAAGAUUGCACCAUUGCUGGCUACCAUAUUCGAAAGGGCACCCGGUUCAUCCCAAACUUCUGGAAGAUCCAAACUGACCCGCAAAAUUGGCCUGAGCCAUUCGAGUUCAAGCCAGAGAGAUUUCUUACCACACACAAGGAUGUUGAUCUGAAGGGUCAGCAUUUUCAGUUUCUUCCUUUUUCAAGUGGUAGAAGAGCAUGCCCUGGUUUGGCAUUUGGUCUUCAACUGGUGCAAUUUACAUUGGCUAGUUUUCUGCAUGCGUUUGAAAUCUCAAACCCGUCGAGUGCACCAAUUGAUAUGACAGAGAGUUUUGGAAUGACCAACCUUAAAGCAGCUCCGCUCAAUGUUCUCAUUAAACCUCGUUUAUCUUCUAAACUCUAUGGAUAAAAGAAAAAAAUAUAGAAUAUUAUGUGUGCAAUAUGAAUAAGAGGUCUUCGUUGUUAUUAGUUAUGUAUAAUUAUGUGUCCAUCUUUGUAAUAGUAAAAUCAAUAAAUCAACUGCCAAUGCAAGAUACAAAACCUAGCAACAAUGAGUGUUUGAGAAUUGGCAUAUUUAGCAAUAUAAAGGUACCCCAAAAAAGCCUCUAUUUACAUUUUCAAUUGGGCUAUCUUUUGGGUCUGUUGCCUCCGGAUAUUUUUGUUUUUCAAUUUGUUUGUAAAGAACCCACCCAUUUGCCAGUACACAAACAGGACAAAUUAAAAUAGUCCAUCUGCGAUUAUUAUCACAAAGCUAAUUUUGAUUAGGUUUUUCUUAUUAUUGAUUGAAAAACCAAGAGAUUUUCAUUACAUUAAGAGCUGGUUUGGUAUUACUGUGCUUUGAAAAAAAACUGCUUCUGCUGUGUUGUGAGAAUAAGCGGAUGUGAAAUAAAGCUGUAGAGUGUUUGGUAAACUUUUUUGUAAAAAUGCUUUUGAAAAAAAAAAACAGUAUUAUAGUGUUUGAUAAACUUUUAUGUAAAAUAGAUGUGAAAAAAAAGCUGGGUUUUCAAAGCUGGGUUUUGCAGCUUCUUGUUUUUGGUUUUUUUUCACCCAAAACUGUGAAAAAAAGCUGAAGCUGAAUGUUUACCAAACACAAAAAAGCUCCCAACUUUUUUUCAUACCAGCUUUUUUUUAAUCACCUCAAUCCCAAACUGCACCUAACUUGGGUCUAAACUGCUCUGAAGUGCAAAAUUUGCAUUGCAAUGAUAAGUUUACUGCUUACAUCACUUUGCAUAUCAGUAAUGUGAUAUCAAAAUGUGAUAUUUCUAGCAUUAUUUGUAGGGCAAAAAAGAAAUCCAAGAAAACCGCAUUCGAUCCGAAAAAUUUAAGCCAAACCUGAAAAUUCCAAAUUAUUUGGUUAUUGAAACCAAACAAUUCUUAAAACUUCGGUAUAAAAAUUUAUAUGUACUAAAGCUCAGCAGAUUAGCAUUGUUCACCAUGUGAGAGCGAGCACUGUUCACCAGCCGUUAAAAGGGAGGAAAUGCCCACGGUUUUUGCUUUGGUUCCUAUACUGUUUACACUUUGCUACAGGAAAAAGUUAGUUUUGUCCUUCCCGGCCUUGCGUCUGUUAUCAGCAAGCGAAUCAGGUUCGUCUCUCGCUCUCUCUCUCUCACAUUUUUUUUUUCAAAUUGGGACGUGCUGUCUUCUCCUUUUCCAUCUCCAUCUCUGCGCAACUUGCCAAAUCUCUCCUGGGAACCUUCCACCGCAUCGUUUUUGUAAUUUUGGCUUGAUCUGGAUGGCUUCAGAUCUCUGAAGCCAUUAUCUGUGAUGACACGUGGAAGACUGGGAUGAGAAGGAGAGAAGAGAAAGGAGUAAAAUGAGCAAUGGCUCCGGCCAAUGAGGGAGAAAGGAAACAAAGGAAAGGAGGGAAAGGAGAAGAAGAGAACCGGCCAACCCGGUUUCUCCACCCGACCCGCCAACUUGACCCGCUCAUAUCUCCUCCAUACGAACUCUGUUUUGGGUGAUCUUGAUGUCCAUGGAAAGCCCUUGAUGAGCCAUACAUCUAUGUAGUGUUAGAUUUCCCAAUUUCUUUCCCAUUUUUCUACUUCGAAGCCACAAAGCCCACGACUUUUUUGGCAACUUUAAUCUUUUUCCAGUGGCUCCGCGCGAGCUUCACCGUCAAUGACCACCACCAAAAGACUCCUCUCAACCCCAGGAGCAAGGCCCAAGCCUUUGAUGAGGUGACGAAGUUUGUUUUGGUGACGAAUCGACAACUACCCAAAUCGAGGGUUUCCGGUGGGUUUGAGUCAAUUUGGAGCCUUUUCCAGCCAAAUUAGACUUGACCACAGGUAUAAAGUUUGCUCUACUCUUUAAGAUCUUUAUUUAUAUAAAAUUUGAGAAUUUUUUAAAAUAGUUGAAAUUUUCCGGCUAGUCGGGGCGGCUGACCACCCCACAUGGCGACGAGUGGCCAGAAGGCCGUUGCUGUUAUUUUUAGGCUAAAUUAGAUGCCUUGAUUUCAGUUUUGAUAUUCGUAUGAUGUAGAUUGAUCGUUUGAACCUAAAUUCACUAUGAUACCUUACUUGAUCAAAAUAAUGAAUCGACGAUCCGACCGUUGGAUCGUCACCAAACUUUGAGACCUUAUCGUAUGUAAUAUUUGAGGACCUUAGGAGUUUACAGAUCGGGAAUCCAUCAUACUAAUCUUCCCGAAUUGGAUUUUCAAGUUUAUAAAAUAAAACGUUGACCACCACUUGAUUUCAUGAUUGGCGGAGAUCCGACCGUUGGAUUGGAAUGAAAUUUUAGUAUGUUGUUCUAGAAGCGUAAGGUGAACUACGCGGAACCUUUUACAACUAUUAACACAAUCUUCUCGAAGCAAUGAUAACCCGCACAUAAUCAACCUAACAUAAUCCAGGAUAGAAAUUAUAAAUACAAACCAAAUUCCUUUGUAUCCAUCAUGACAGCUAUUUCAGUUAGCUUUUGGAUCUCAAGAAAAUGAAAACCAGAUAUUACUCUACUUAUGAGAAAUAUCAGUGUCUCAGGCCGGAUGAUGAUGCUGUAACAACUCUAAGUAGUUUUCAAUACUUUGAUAUCUGCAAGUUUUGUUAAUAGUAAGCACAUUAGGUGAAAAUGAAAAUGAAAACAAGGAAAAUGAAAACUUUCCUUGUUGCAAAUCACUUUACGCAACAUGUCACCCGUUGGCAACAUUUUUUUCAUGCUAUGACCAAGAUUGGACUUCAAGUUAGUGAGUCUUAAACCAGUCCAAAACUGCACUAAACCUUUAGGAACAACCUAUCAAGAAAACUAAUAAUUUGAACAAGCUUUAGAAUCAGUUCUGCUUCAGGCUACACGAUUAUAUCACAUAUUGUCCGGUGGUAGUACAUUUAAGAAAGUCAACUAAGCAAAUAACAGCCUGUAGCUAAACGUUUCAUAUCUUUGAUCAGUGACCCCUAUGCAAGCUCAUUGAUAGCAUUUAAAAAUGAUCCAGUCAAGAAAAGUAUACAAAUUAGCUAAUGAUUUUGUAGAUACCUGUGCAGCGUUGUUAAAUUCAGGUAAAGGAUUCCCAUUAUUAUAUGUUGCUUUGACAAGUUCAUCGAAAAUGUAGCCAUAUAGUACGUCACUCUUCUCCAGUUUUUUGUUCAGACCUUCCACAUGGUUUCGAUGAUGGCCUCCCCAAUGAACUUCCAAUAUUCUCUGACUCAUAUACGGCUCCAAAGCAUCCUGAAAACAGAAACAUUACAUUUCAGUCAAGGAAGAUCAUAUGCAUAUUGCAAGCAUAAUAUAAUUACAUGUAUGUAUCAUCACGUGACAAGAAUAAGCAGCUCGAAACAGAAUAGUAAUCUCUACACAAUAAGAUUUACAACACGAGAUGGAUAACUUCAUAGAAUCAAAUGCUACACCACAAGAACUUCAGAAACCAAACAAUCAAAUUACUAAAGUAUUGCAAAUCCCAUCAGGUAAUAAGAAACCACAAAACUUCUCUUGGUGCACCUAAUGUGACAAUAGAAGCUGACUUGGCCAACCCGAUUUCAUGUCCUUAAAAUUGGUUUAAGGAGAAACUAGUUUACUUACAAGAAUAUAAGGAGGUUUCUUCAAUCCAUAGUAAGCACAAACUAACCCCAACUUUUGGCCUUGAACGGCUACAAUGAUUCCAGUCUCUUAAACUGUAACAACAACUAUUAACAUACAUAGAGAGUAAUUCUUAAACCUUGAAAUUUAGCCCAUUUCCUAAUAAUUUAUCCCAAAUAAAAACCUGAUUCAAUCCCCAUUUCAAAAUUAAAACCCUAAUUCCCAUUCACAAUUUUUCAAACCCUGAAAUCCAUCCCAUGCCCUAGUAAUUUAUCCCAAAUUAAAACCCUAAAUUCUAAAAUUCAUCUCAAUUCACGAUCAAAAUCCUUAAUUUCACAAUUCCAUAAUUUGUAAUUAGACUUACUUUCGAGAUAGACGAGCACGACGAAGGGGGUGGUGACUGCCUGUCGUUUGGAACGAAAGGGAGAGAGACAACCGAUAGUGGGUUCGAGAUUGGGGCAAUUUAGGGUUCGAGCGAAGAGGAGGAAGCCUACGGGAGAGAGGGUAUGAUGAGCGAAGAGGAGGAAGGCUACGAAAGAGAGAGACCGAGUGAGAGAGAGAGAAAGAGAGAAGGGGUCUGGGAAGAGGAGGAGGGCGUGAAAAGCAAAGGGGUCUUGGAAGAUUUUGUCCAAAAUUAUCAAAACUGGCGCUUAUUUUUUACACUUGUGCCAAAAUAUUCAAAACUGGCGCGACAUAGGUAUACAAUUCGACGUCGCGCAAAGUGUUUUUGCGCGACGACAACAUAAAGGCGUCGGUAUUUUUUAUAUAAAAAAAUUAUUAUAAAAAUAACUGAAAAUGUGACUUUACUCAUUUUAAAUUUAAUUAUUUUUACAUAAAACUCAUAAUAAUAUAUUUUUUAACAAAAACCUGACUAAUAAAUUGGUAGCUACUUAAUAAAUAUACAUAUCAUUCAAUUUCUUAAGUAUUAUACGUAAAAAAUAAAUAAAUUUAAAUCUACUUGAUAAAUAUAUAUACCAUUGAACUUGAUGCGAUACCACAUUGUACGUAACUAAUUUAAAUGAUCUAACCGUCAAACUUGUUUGUAUAUUGAUGCGUGAAAUAAGUUAACACACAAAUUAACCCUCUUUUUGACAAUUGUAGUAUAGAUGUAAGUAGGGUAUCGUUCUAGGCCGGGGAUUAGGAGGGAUUGCUAAUCUAUUCUAAAUUAAUUUAAAAAUAUUAAACAAGACUCAAGGACACAAAACUAGGCUAAAAACUCUAAUAACUCGAAACACACUUAGAAUGACUCAAAAUAAUGAAAACAAUCAAAUUAGACACUAGGAACUGAAAUGGACGGAAAUUGAAUUAAAAGACUAACAACAAUGAAAACUAACUAAAUAAUAUAAUUUAAUAAUGGGGGGGUUUGGUUUUUACGAGAAGUAAAUUAAACUUAAAUAAAUUACAGAAUUGACAAAAGCAUGAAAUUAAGGUGAAAGGAUAGGUGACGGACUAGCUAGAGGGUUCUUCUCCACACAUGACACAAAUGCAACCUAAAUUGAUUUUCAGUUGUUCUUUCAAUAAAUUGUAAAUCUCAACGCCCCAAAUUAACCGUGAAUUGCACUAAUUAACCCUCAGUUUUUCCACAAGUUAUUAGGUUGGAUGAUUGCAUACGACAACCCAAAACAUUCCCUACAAGUUCCCUACAUGAAUUGCAUAAUAGAGAUACAAGCAAGAAUCAUUAAGUUCUAUGAAAAACAUAAGCAUUGACGAGGCACUCGUUACUAUGAUUUGCAUGAAACUUAUGCCAAGAAUUUACUUAACGUGAUUGGGACUAGCAACCUUCACUACUUGUGAAUAUAAGUUCAUAACGAUUAGGUGAAACUCCCUUAUAUUCUAGCGUCAAAUUCAUGCAUGUAAAUUAAGUAUGCAUUCUUAAUCGACAUACAAAAAUAAGCUAUCAAUCAAGCAGUUAAGCAAAUUAAAUCACAACUCAGAAAUCACAACUGAAGGUAAUCAAUUCAUAUUACAAAUAUAUUCAUGGCUUUGAAUUAACCUCUAGCCAAAAUAAAAUUAGUUACAUAUUAUUAAAACAGAAAUAAAAUAUAAGUUUGGAAAGAUUUAACCAAAAAAAAUAGAGUGAAGCUCCUUCUCUGUCUCUCUGUGCUCCCCCUGUCUCUGCCUUCCGCGCCUUCAGUUUUCUUCUUUUCUCCUGCGUCAGUCUGUCCUCCCCCCGCCCCAGUCCUUGCUGCUGUCACUCUCUGACUCUUUUUUUUUAUUUUCUGUCUGUUUCGUUUCUCUUGGUCUCCGCCCCGCCCCUGCUAGUCGGUCUCCCCUAUUUUUCUAUUCUCCUUCCCUCCUAUCUGCCGCGCCUCCUGGCCUCAUCUUAUUCUUCUUUCAUUUUUUUAUUCCUUCUUUUUUCUUUUUCUUGUCUGCCAUGCCUCAUUCCUUUUAUCAUUUUCUGUUUUUCUUUCCUCCACCAUUCCUUUCUUUAUGUUUCUUUUAUUCCUCCAUCAUUCCAUGUCUCCCCUUUUAUUUAUUUUCUUAUUCUUCUUUCUCCACACAAUCCGCAAGUCUCUCCCUUUCCUCUUUUAUUAUUCAAUUUCUUGAUAGUCCACUUCCUUCCUUUGUUUAAUGACGUGCUGCAUUCUGUCUUUUCUCUAUUCUUUUCUGCCCAUUUUGUUUGAAAUUAAUCCUACAACAAAAUUAACUGUACAUUAACACGAGGUAAGGUAAAAUGCCACAAUUUUGACACAAAAACAUCCAAAGACUUUAGAAAUGAAUGGUAUAAAUGCAUGAAAUAUAUGAGUGAUCAUAUAUGCUUCAAGAUUGCAUACACCAAAAAUGGCAAAAAACAAACCUUCAUAGUGAUAGUAACGAGACAAAACUUUUCGACAGCUAUAAACGAAAAAAUCACGAUUUAACGGUUAUUUUAACUCCAAUUUUGAUGAUUUUGUACAACUACACUCUUGGAUCUUAUAUGAAUACAAGGAACUGAUUCGAUCAUCAAUUUAAAACAUUUACAUAAGUGGAUACCACAAAAUCUUAUGUUAUACUUGAUGAAAGUAUAAAUAAAAUAUAAGUGUUAGGAAAUCUAUUGUUUUAAUGGGAUACGCAUUGUACAAAACAAGUUUCAAUGAUCCAACUGUCAAACUUGUUUGUAUAUGCUUCAAGAUCACAUACUCCAAAAAUGAAAAAAAAACAAACCUUCAGAGAUCAAGUAACGGGACAAAUCUUUUCGACGGUUAUAAACAAAAAAAUCACUAUUUAACGGUUAUUUUAACUCCGAUUUUGAUGAUUUUUUACAACUACACUUUUGGAUCCUAUAUGAAUACAAGGAACUGAUUCGAUCGUCAAUUUAAAACAUUUACAAAAGUGGAUACCACAAAAUCUUAUGUUAUACUUGAUGAAAGUAUAAAUAAAAUAUAAGUGUUAGGGAAUCUAUUGUUUUAAUGGGAUACGCAUUAUACAAAACAAGUUUCAACGAUCCAACCGUCAAACUUGUUUGUAUAUGCUUCAAGAUCACAUACGCCAAAAAUGGAAGAAAAAAAAAACCUUCAGAGAUCAAGUAAUGGGACAAAUCUUUUCGACGGUUAUAAACGAAAAAAUCACGAUUUAACGGUUAUUUUAACUCUGAUUUUGAUGAUUUUUUACAACUACACUCUUGGAUCCUAUAUGAAUACAAGGAACUGAUUCGAUCAUCAAUUUAAAACAUUUACACAAGUGGAUACCACAAAAUCUUAUGUUAUACUUGAUGAAAGUAUAAAUAAAAUAUAAGUGUUAGGAAAUCUAUUGUUUUAAUGGGAUACGCAUUGUACAAAUCAAGUUUCAAUGAUCCAACCGUCAAACUUGUUUGUAUAUGCUUCAAGAUCGUAUACGCCAAAAAUGGCAAAAAACAAACCUUCAGAGAUGAAGUAACGGGACAAAUCUUUUCAACGGUUAUAAACAAAAUAUCACGAUUUAACGGUUAUUGUAACUCCGAUUUUAAUGAUUUUUUACAGCUACACUCCUGGAUCCUAUAUGAAUACAAGGAACUAGUUCGAUCGUCAAUUUAAAACAUUUACACAAGUGGAUACCACAAAAUCUUAUGUUAUACUUGAUGAAAGUAUAAAUAAAAUAUGUGUUAGAGAAUCUAUCGUUUUAAUGGGAUACACAUUGUACGAAACUAGUUUCAACGAUCCAACCGUCAAAUUUGUUUGUAUAUGCUUUGAGAUCGUAUACGCCAAAAAUAGUAAAAAACAAACCUUCAGAGAUUAGGUAACGGGACAAAACUUUUCGACGGUUAUAAACGAAAAAAUCAAGAUUUAACGGUUAUUUUAACUCAAAUUUUGAUUAUUUUUUACAGCUACACUCCUGGAUCCUAUAUGAAUACAAGGAUCUGAUUCGAUCAUCAAUUUAAAACAUUUACACAAGUGGAUACCACAAAAUCUUAUGUUAUACUUGAUGAAAGUAAAAAUAAAAUAUAAGUGUUAGGAAAUCUAUUGUUUUAAUGGGAUACGCAUUGUACAAAACAAGUUUCAAUGAUCCAACUGUCAAACUUGUUUGUAUAUGCUUCAAGAUCGCAUACUCCAAAAAUGAAAAAAAAAAACAAACCUUCAGAGAUCAAGUAACGAGACAAAUCUUUUCGACAGUUAUAAACAAAAAAAUCACUAUUUAACGGUUAUUUUAACUCCGAUUUUGAUGAUUUUUUACAACUACACUUUUGGAUCUUAUAUGAAUACAAGGAACUGAUUCGAUCGUCAAUUUAAAACAUUUACACAAGUGGAUACCACAAAAGAAACAGGCAAUGCAAGAACCCCAAUAGAAAAGCAAAAGGAAAAUAAAAAAACUUUGCGCAACGGAGGUACAACCGUCGCACAAAGUUUUUUUUUUUUUUUUUUUUUUGUUCCUAUGUUCCACAGUUUUAGCUUCUUGUAUAUCUCUUCCACUCCUGCCUUAAAAUUAUUGUUUAAGGACCUAUAUGAUGAGACCACGUAUUCAAAAUCGUAAAGGGUAGAGACUACACCUAAAAUGAUUACUAACCACGUAAUAGAAUAGUGGUUUGACAAAAAUAUAAACUAGCUUUUUCUCUAAAUCUCUAACAUUCUAGUUUCCUUCUCCCAAUUUAGUGAGAAAUGAAAUCAUUUUUUAGCACACAUCAAUCUAUCCCUAAAUUGGAUCAAGUUAACUGAGCAGCUUGCAGUUUCUUAGCUUUUGUUUCCCUAAACCUAUCAAAAUCCUUCAUACUCCUAGUCAUUCAUUCUACUCAUUCAAUUGUUCAAAACCAAAACUCAACUUGUUAAAAAUAAGCAUUGACAAAGAUAAUUAAAGAAAAACAUAAAUACACAAAAAUAAAAAAAUCCGAACAUAAAUGUAAUCAAUAAAUAGUUAAUUAAUUAAUCAAAUAAAUACAAUACUUGAAGGUGAAGAUGGUGAAGGUUGAGAGAGAUGGAGAGUCUGAAAGAGAGAGGUUGAGUGUGAAGAAAAAGGCCAUUGUGUGUGGUUAUUUUAGAAAAAAAAAUCGUCGACUUUGCGCAACGCUUCAUACGUUGCGCAAAACAGCAUUGCGCGACGUAGGUUCAAUUACGUCGCGCAAAGUUGUUUUGCGCGACGUAGGUGCACAUGUGUCACGCAAAGAUGGGAUGGGUUGGCGCCAAAAUUUUACGUGCGCAAGUUUCCGUCGCGCAAACAUGUUUUUGUACUAGUGAUUGUCAGUUUUUCAAGAGAUCCUCGUAAGGACUCCAUGUUCAGGGUAUUACUGGCCCUGUUUUCAUGUAGAACCUCACACUCAGACACAUCAAGUGUUUUCAAGGAAGAAAGAUGAGUAGGCAAGUCUCCUAUCAGCUUCGGACACUCUCUUAAUAUCAGCUCCUGAAGACGAGGGAAGUCUGGACUUUCACCACCACUUGGACUAGGCUGCCAUUCCUCCACUCUGGCAUCUCCCGAAACUCUAGCUUCUCUAAACAUUGAAAUGGUUGAUUUCCCCCGUACAACUCACCACCAGCCGGCAUGUCAUAAAAUAAUAAAUCUUCAAAAUAAUCAAAAUUCGUUAAACGUCAGUUUUACUAUUCAAACCGGCAUGCUGCAACGAACAGUUAAGUAAAGGGUCCAAAACGGCAUGUCAUAAAAUAAUAAGGGUCCAAAACGGCAUGUCAUAAAAUAAUAAGGGUCCAAACCGGCAUGUCAUAAAAUAAUAAAUCUUCAAAAUAAUCAAAAUUCGUUAAACGUCUAGUAAAACGGGGGAUUGAGCACUUUUACUAUUUUGUCAUCCUCAAUUAAAUUGUCUUUUUUAAGAAUUGUGAAAAGGAAAGGGUAUUUUUAAGUGAAGAGGAUCAUCUUCUGAGUUCAGGAUGGGAAUCCUCCUGAUCUGAUCAGGUUAUCCGGAUCAUUCAAAUUUAAUUCAACGGUUGUAAUUAUUAUAACUUUUAGAGGACCCUCCUAUUUAGAACCAUUGGAUUAAAUUUGAACGGUCCGGAUGACCUAGUCAAGAGGAUCCCCAUCUUGAGCUCAGGAGGAUCCUCUUCCAUUUUUAAAUUUACACAUAUUAAUUAUGAUUCAAAAAUAAAAUUAAAUAUAUGUUUGGUUAACCGCACCCUAAAAAUUUUGAGAACCGAUUGCCAAACUGAUUGAGAUCGGUACGGUUUGGUUUAGCCAUCGAAAAUUAAAUAUAAAAAAACCAAACCUAGCUUCGGGUGGGAUUCAAACCGAUUGCCAAACGUUAUUUCCCUUUGUCACAUGUCGACUCUCGAUGUAUGUUGGGAUCCGGGCGUUACACAAACUUAAUCACCACAAAAGGGACUAAAAUGAUUAGUAUGUCAUCAAUGUGUGAUAAAAAAUUACUUUGUAGCUUCGCCACAACAGUCUACCUUUUGAGGAUCGAAAAGACUCACAGAGGCAUUUCAACCUCUCAUUGACCAUUAUCGUGUGAUACACACGCGUUAAGAAUUUAACCCAAAACAAACUGUGUAUAAUAUAUGAGUAUGAAAUUCGUUUUCAAUCAGUAGGUCAUCCCUUAGCGUGAGGGCAAUGAUAUUUUUUUCAAUAGGUCAUCCCAUACUGGAAUUGUCCCCAAUGUGUAAAAAUCACGAGCGUUAGACCAAUUCCAGCGUAUAGUUGUUUAUUUGUAAGGUUAUUUUCGUGGGGGCAAUGAUAUUAAAAUUAUGCACACAUCACACAGAAGACAAUCCCAUCUUACUUGCAUGUUGCAACGAACAGAUAAGUAAAGGGUCCAAACCGGCAUGUCAUAAAAUAAUAAAUCUUCAAAAUAAUCAAAAUUCGUUAAACGUCUAACAAAACGGGGGAUUGAGGAGUUUUAAUAUUUUGUCUUUUUUAAGAGUUAUGAAAAGGAAAGGGUAUUUUUAAGGGAAGAGGAUCCUUUCAUGAGUUCAGGAUGGAAAUCCUCCUGAUCUGAUAGGAUCAUCUGGACCGUUCAAAUUUAAUCAAACGGUUGUAAUUAUUAUAACUUUUAGAGGACCCUCUUAUUUAAAACCGUUGGAUUAAAUUUGAAUGGUCCGGAUGACUUGAUCAAGAGGAUCCCCAUCCUGAACUCAGGAGGAUCCUCUUCCAUUUUUAAAUUUACACGUAUUAAUUAUGAUUCAAAAAUAAAAUUAAAUAUAUGCGGGUCGGUUUGGUUAACCGCACCCUAAAAAUUUUGAGAAUCGAUUGCCAAACCGAUUAAGAUCGGUACGGUUUGGUUUAGCCAUCGAAAAUUAAAAAAAAAAAAAAAACAACCCAAGCUUCGGGUGGGAUUCAAGCAGUUUAGUCGGUUUUUUUUUUAAAUGCCCAGCCGUAUGUUCUACGUAGAACCCAACGUAAUUUUUUUAUCUAAAUAAUUAAGAUCCCCGUAAGCAAAUUCAUCAAUUAUACUUUACUUUAUAGAUUUUACAUUUUUCGAAUUCUUAAAAAUAUUCCUAUUACAUGUUUGAUGUAAACAAUUAAUUCUAUAUGGGUUCUUAGCUUUGAUGAUCGCUAAAGGUAAAUUUGAACCCCAUUAUUACUAACACAUUGUGAGACUUAGUCCACUCUCCAUCCUUUCAAUGUAGAUAAUAUCAUUUGUUAAAAAAAAAACAAUAUAUCUUUUACCUUUUAGUUAGUCAUAAUUUUUUCAUUUCUCCCCUCAACUCGGAGAUAAAGAGUUAUGUAUUUCAAUACAACCAUACGUAAUAAUCAAGCCCUUACUUCUAUAUAUACGUGUGUGUAUGACAAGGUGAUAAAUCAACUUAAGCCUUUUCCCAGUUCAGCAAAAAUCAUUUUGCCUCAAGCUUCUAAUGACAGUUGCAAAAAUGGAUUCUCUGCCUUAUGCAAACUCUAUCACUGCUGGCCUGUUCACAGUAAUCAUCGUGUUCUAUUACUUAUCUCGAAGAUGGAGAGCUUCCAAUCACGAGGGCAAAUUAUCACCACCAGAAGCCAAGGGUGGAUGGCCUAUAUUUGGUCACCUUCAUUUGUUCGGAGGCCCCACACCUCCUCACAUAACUUUGGGAGCCAUGGCGGACAAGUACGGACCCAUUUUCACUAUCCGCCUUGGCGUCCAACCGUCGUUGGUGAUAAGCAGCAGUGAGAUCGCAAAAGAAUGCUACACAACCAAUGACUUGAGCAUACUCGGUCGCCCAAAGAUGGUGGUUGCAGAUCACGUUACCUACAACUAUGCCAUGUUUGCGUUCGGACCACCUGGACCCUAUUGGCGACAAAUUCGCAAGAUCGUUACCUUGGAGUUGCUCUCAGUCCGGAAGGUUGAGCUGCUCAAGCACAUUCGAGUGUCGGAAGUGGCUACUUUCUUAAAAGAAUUGCACGACCAUUGGAGUACAAAGAAAAAGGAGGGCUCGAAAGAUGGAGUGGUUGUAGAGCUAAAGCAAUGGUUUGGGGACAUGAUGCUGAACGUUAUUCUUACAAUGGUGGCUGGAAAGCGGUUUUCGGUGGCUGCCACUGGGGGGAUGAGAGAAAAGAAGCGCGUAGGGUUCAGACUGCAUUGAGGGAGUUCUUUGAUUAUCUGGGCAUGUUUUUGGUGGGUGAUGCGGUUCCUUAUCUGCGGUGGUUGGAUUGGGGUGGACAUGAGAAGGCAAUGAAGAAAAGUGCAACGGAAAUGCACGCCAUUAUUGCAGAGUGGCUUGAAGAGCAUAAGCAGAGGAGAGCAAAAGGUGAUGCAAAAGGAGAAAAGGACUUCAUAGAUUCGUUGCUUUCUGUGCUUGAUGGUGCGGACCUUGGCAGUUUCGAUGCUGAUACGAUCACCAAAGCCACAAGCGUGGUACGUAUAUAUAAUUUAUUAAAUUUGCAGGCAAAUAAUUAACCAUAAAAGGCUGGAGUUAGACACUAUACACAUAAAGAUUUUAUUUUUACUUUUCAAUACUUAUAAGCUAAUUGCAUAGUCUAUAAAAAGAAAAUGAAAACAUUAGACGAUAAUAUUUUUUUUUUUUAAAAACAAAUUAUGUCCAAUUUUAUAUAUGACUCAUGUGACAUAUUUGUCGGCUCACCAAUGGGUGAUGGUAAAGAGAUUAUCUUCUUAGACUGUAUAUGUAGAAUACAUGAUGUAGCGAUUGUUAGAUUCUUUCUUUAAAUCUUUAAUAAUGAAAUCCAACCAUCAAUUAUCAUAUUCUUUGAUUUACAAGAUGUGAUUUAAAAAUAUAAUCACUAACAUUUUCGUCGCCUAAAGAACGUAUAAAUGUUAAUCAAGCAAAUAUUCCUUGGGCAGAAUAUUAUUGCAGGAGGUGGCGACACCACCAUGGUGCCAUUGACGUGGGCAAUAUCAUUAUUGGUGAACAACCCUCAAGUUUUGAAAAAAGCUGUAAACGAACUGGACACCAAAAUAGGCAAACAAAGAGUUGUGAGUGAGGAAGAUAUAAGCAACUUGGUCUACAUCCAAGCUAUUGUAAAGGAGACGUUACGUUUGUACCCAGUAGGACCAUUAUCAGGGCCGCGUUUAUUCACCGAAGAUUGCACCAUUGCUGGCUACCAUAUCCCAAAGGGCACCCGGUUGAUCCCGAACUUCUGGAAGAUCCAAACUGACCCGAAAAAUUGGCCUGAGCCAUUCGAGUUCAAGCCAGAGAGAUUUCUUACCACACACAAGGAUGUUGAUCUGAAGGGUCGGCAUUUUCAGUUUCUUCCUUUUUCAAGUGGUAGAAGAUCAUGUCCUGGUUUGGCAUUUGGUCUUCAACUGGUGCAAUUUACAUUGGCUAGUUUUCUGCAUGCGUUUGAAAUCUCAAACCCGUCGAGUGCACCAAUUGAUAUGACAGAGAGUUUUGGAAUAACCAACGUUAAGGCAACUCCACUCAAUGUUCUCAUCAAACCUCGUUUAUCUUCUGAACUUUAUAAAUAAAAGAAGAAAAUACAGAAUAUUAUGUGUACGAUAUGAAUAAGAGAUUUUCGUUGUUAUUAGUUAUGUAUAAUUAUGUGUCCAUCUUUGUAAUCGUAAAAUCAAUAAAUCAACUGCCAAUGUAAGAUACAAAACCUAGCAAUAAUGGGUGUUUGAGAAUGGGUAUAUUUAGCAAUAAAAAAGUACCCCAAAAAAGCCUCUAUUUACAUUUUCAAUUGGGCUAUCUUUUGGGUCUGUUGCCUCCGGAUUUUUUGAUUUUCAAUUUGUUUGUAAAGAACCCACCCAUUUGCCAGCAUAAACAGGACAAAUUAAAAUAGUCUGAAGUGCAAAAUUUGCAUAGCAAUGACAUGUUUACUGCUUAAAUCACUUUGCAUAUCAGUAAUGUGAUAUUUCUAGCAUUAUUUGUAGGGCAGAAAAGAAAUCCAAGUAAACCGAAUUCGAUCCGAAAAAUUUAGGCCCAACUUGAGAAAAGCCAAACCUGAAAAUUCCAAAUUAUUUGUUAUCGAAACCAGUGUUCUAAAAAUCGGCCUAGGCGGCCGCCUAGGCACUGGGCGGAGGUGUGCCGAGGCGAUUAGGUCCGAAUCGUUAAGAAAAAUCGGGGAGCUGUUAGGCGCCCGCCUAGGCGUUCUUAGGCGGCCUGGGCGGUCUAGGCGGCUAUCUAGGCGGAGUGAAACGAUUUCCUGGGAAGAAAUUCCAAACAGAAAUCGAAAAUCACAAACUCAAAUUUAAACUUGAAAUUAACAUGCAGAGCAUGGGUUAAGCUACCUGAGUUUCUAACGGGACUAACUCGAGCUCAUGGGACCCCAAGUUCGACGGGUCCCUCGCCGGAGCUCCACGCCAGAAGCUCAAUUUUCAAAGGUUGUAGUUCGAUUCCAUUAGAGCAACUCUCACCGAGAGAACCCCUGCUUGGAUUCUCCUACUUUCCAUUAAAUCAAAACAGGAAUGGCACCAGUCAAUGAGGGAGAAAGGAAACGAGGGAAAGGAGGGAGAGGAGAAGAAGAGAACCGGUCAAUCCAGUUUUUCCACCCGACCCGCCAACUUGACCCACUCAUAUCUCUUCCAUACGAACUCCGUUUUGGGUGAUCUUGGUGUCCAUGGAAAGCCCUUGACGAGCCCUACAUCUCUGUAGUGUUAGAUUUCCCAAUUUGUUUCCCAUUUUUCUAGUUCGAAGCCACAAAGCCCAUGGCUUUUUCGAUGGAUUUAAUCUUUUUUCGGUGGCUCCGGCAAGCUUCACCAUCGAUGACCACCACCAAAAGACUCCUCUCAACCCUAGGAGCAACGCCCAAGCCUUUGAUGAGGUGACGAAGUUCGUUUUGGUGACGAAUCGACAACUACCCAAAUAGGGUUUCUGGCGGGUUCGAGUCAAUUUGGAGCAUUUUCCAGCCAAAUUGGACUUGACCACAGGUAAAAGUUUGUUUUACUCUUUGAGAUCUUCAUUUAUAUAAAAUUUGAGAAUUUUUGGAAAUAGUUGAAAUUUUCCGGCGAGUCUGGAUGGCUGACCGCCACCCAUGGCAGUGAGUGGCCAGAGGGUCGUUGAUGCUAAUUUUAGGCUAAAUUAGAUACCUUGAUUUCAGUUUUGAUAUUCGUAUGAUGUAGGUUGAUCGUUUGAACCUAAAUUCACUACGAUACCUUACUUGAUCAAAAUAAUGAAUCGACGAUCCGACCGUUAGAUUGUCACUAAACUUUGAGACCUUAUCGUAUGUAAUAUUUCAGGACCUUAGGAUUUUAAAGAUCGGGAAUCCAACGUACGAAUCUUCCCGAAUUGGAUUUUCAAGUUUAUAAAAUAAAACGUUGACUGCCACGUGAUUUCAUGAUUGGCGGAGAUCCGACCGUUGGAUCGGAAUGAAAUUUUAGUAUGUUGUUCUAGAAGCGUAAGGUGAACUACGAAUGGCUUGAUCCCUUCGUUUAGUGUAUGUUGGCAGUCUAACUAGGAUGUUAGAUGCAGCCAUAAAUUAAACAAAAUGAUUAUUUUUUUUAGUGUAGUUAGUUAGAAUUAUAAUUAACCAUUAUUUUAUUGUGGCCUACCUGUGUGUUUGGCUUCCGAAUUAGAAAUUUCGGGUCGUUACAAUGAGGGUACAAUUCGGAAUGGGGAUAUGCAGGUAUAUAUUGAUUUCAUAUCUGUUGUAUUGGUUGAAGCUUUAUUAACGGUACUAGAGUUGUUAAAUUUGUCCACCAUAUAUAUUCAAUAAAUUAUGUCCCAAUGUUGUUGUUGCUGUUACUCAAUAAUGGGGUUUCUUAAGGUAGACUGUUAUCAAGUUCGAAUUUUCUAAUUUUCUUUCUACAAAUUAUUUUGUGUUUUAGGAACUGUAGUUGUAUAAUUUUAAGUGACUGAAAAUUGGAUUUGGUGAUUCUCUGUUUUUUUUUCUUUUAUUAUUUUUAUUAAUUGCCAUAUACAACUUUUGUGUAGGUUUAUGUUGCUGUAAUUUUGCAUUGCCUAUUGAAUAACACAUUAUAAUCUUCCAAUAAAUGGAGUCUUUGUCACUUAUACAUCAUAUAUUGCAAUCAAAUAAGGUGAAUUCUAAAAUAAUGGAGUCUUAGGCUCUUAAUGCAGAUAACAUUGUUUGUUCAAAAUAAGUACGAAGGUGAAUUCCAAAAUUAAAAGGAAACCCACAAUUUCUUACAAAAUUAUAAUAAACGCAUCUCUGUUAAUAGGUGUUGACGCUGUAUCACAAAAAGUCUUAUUGCAGUAAGCAAAUCAUUUGUUAUAUUAUUUUAUUAUACUUUAUGUUCUUGGUACAUAAAAGUUGAGAGAGGGAGAGAUGAGGCACUCUUACCUAGGCUAAGAGCAACUUCACCACCGUUGCUUAUUACCUUGGGGAAAUACCCAACUACUCCACUUCCUUAAAACACUCCACCCUACUCGAGCAAUUGGGCUCAAGGCGAGCUCGAUGGAUUAGUCAGACAAUAAUCAUUUGGCCCAGUGUCCUGUUUAUAUGAUGCAAGGCUGGCAUCAUUCACAAUUUAAUUUAGGAAAUUGUUAUUGGCACUCCAAAUUUCUCAUUUUACACUCUAAAUUUUUUAUAUUUAGAAAGAAAAAUACAUUUGUGAUGAGUGUAGAAUGAGAUUUUUGUAGUGUCAAUAACACUUCCCUUUAAUUUAUUAAAAAUCAUUAUAAAAUAUUAAAAAAACUAAUUACAAAUAUAAAAAAUUAGAAUUUUUUCUAUAAAUACCUAUCCACGUUCUUUCACUUUACACUACAUUUCAACAUUUUCAAAUACAUUCACCAGUUUUUUAUUAUUAUUAUCCUAAAUUAAAAAUAAUAUUAUCUUUCAUUAUUUUAUAAAACAAAAAAUACUAAUAUUUUAAUACGAAUUGCCUAGGCUAUUCAGUUUAGGGGUGGAGAUGCACUUAGGCAAUUAUUUUCACUGCCGACAGUUACUAUUCAUUUAAGGGGAUUGAGUUGCCUGUUGCCCAAAAGGGGCCUUACUACACUGGAACUACUCUAAGGUAUACCACAAGCCUCAUUGAGGAUUUAGACAGGAGUCCUAAUUCCUUUUUUUAGUUUUUACAUAUUGCUCAUCAAGAGGGAUUGUCGGCAUCGAAACUCGAAUUUAGACCUUUAUAUUAUUUACUCAUGUUGACUAGUUUAUUAUACUUUAGUAAUAGGCUAAAUAGCUAAAAUGGUCCCUGAUUUGCAUAAUCAAUAGAAAUGGUCAUUGUGAUUGUCCACCAUCCAUGAUUCUUUUGGGCAAUUUUCAAAACUUCGUAACUCAAUUAAUUCUAAACCAAAUUCGAUCCAUAAUAUAUCAAAAUGAAGAUAGGAAAGUGUAAAACAAGAUUAUACCUAUUUGGAAGCCCAAUGGUUGCCGGAUAUAACCCGAAAAUAGCCUGAAAGGUGGCUGGUCCGCGGAAAAACUGACAACUCGCCGUAAACUGUGUAAACUUUAAACGUUCAUAACUUCUUCAAUACUCAACGAAAUCGAGUGAUUCUGUUUGGGCUCGAUUUUACAAUAUCGGCUCGAGCCAUCAAGGUCGUUGAAUGAGUAGGUUCUAGGCCGUUGGAUUUCUUAUUUUUCUAGAUAUUACUAUUGGAUUAUUAUAGUAAUUAUCUUAUAAAAUAUAUUUUUGGAAGCAAAGGAGAUCAAUUUCAGUUUGAAUUGCUACACUUACAUGAUUGGUUUGAGAGCUAACGUGGCAAGUUAAAAGAUUAUCUUCCCUGCAUUUAUGCAAAUACAAUGGGGUAAAAGAUGAGAUCAUAUUGGUCAAGGUUAGUUGGCGUGGAUAAAAAUGAUCUGAUGACCUUCUUUGGUUGGUCAACGAGGUGAAAUAGGUGAUCAGGAAAUCAAUGCAUGCGUUGGAUAAAGAUUACGAUGUUGAUGGAAUUACGAUAAGGGAAAAGUAAAAAUGGUGAUGUGCUUGAAAGAUGACUUUACACGUGGUGGUGAUAAAAGAUGGCAGUAAUUAUCUUGUUGAGUAGGCUAAAUGAUUUAGCAUAUUGGUAUAGACUUUUGCGUUAUGAGCCAGCAUGUGGUUGAUGGAUAUUUGGGAUAAUUCAAGAGGUUUAGUCUCGGUUGGUUUCUAGGAAAUCACCAAGGCCACGGGAUCAAUUUGGGAUAAUUUGAGAAGUUUAAGUCUCGGUUGAUUUCUAAGGUUAAGGGAUCAUGCAUACUUGAGAGAAUAUUCCCAUUAUUGACGACGACAAUCCUAGUGUUCUGCUAUUAUAAAUACAAGGGGUCAUCAUUCUAAAGGUCCCUUUCAAUUCAACACACAACUACCCUGCGCAAAUUCUCUCAACAACCUUGAGACUUUUUCCUUUUCUAUUUUCGCUGACACACCUUCAGUUUGGAUAAACAGCACUGUGAAGGCAACCGGUAGUAUCUUCAAUCGGCAUACAUAACACUGUCACUGUAGAAUCAGCCGACCUCACAGCAUCUUCAGUUUGGAUAAACAGCAUUGCGUCGAGGGCGACUGGUUAUCUAUCCAAGUCUUGAUCGAGAAGGAUUUCCGAGUCCUUGUUGGUUGAGGUCAUCUCAUCAGCCUUCUCGGCGAAGUGAGGUGUUAUAGUUUAUUGGGCUCGGCACACUACACGCCGAGUUAUUUUAUGAUUGGAUACUCACAAGUGGGAUUUAAAGUUUGGCAUUCAAACGGCCGAACCACGUUUACUGUUAAGACUUAUAUUUGCUUUGAGUAUUUAUGCCCUUACACUUUGGUGUCGAUUCAGCGUGAGUUUACUCUGACGAAUAUUAUCACUGUGACCGAAUUCGACGACAACGAUUUGUGAACUUCGUAAGAAUAGUAGCCUUGUCUUCAGGUUCGAGAACCCAAGAGGCCGAGACGUGUUCCUUCCUCGGUCGCAAUAGCAAGACGCAAAAGUCGACCGCAUACCCAACGCAACGUCAACAAAUUUUACUCAUUGGCCGAGCUCGGUCGACGAGUUGGCACGCCCCGCACACAACCGAAGGACGUAGUUAGCUCAUAGAUUACUUAGCCUGCGUGCCACGUAGGCUUGGUAGUUUUUAGGGUCAACAUUUUGGCACGUCCAGUGGGACCUAGUGCUAAUACUACGAAGUUCAUAUGAUAUAUCAAGAUUCCAAUCUCGUUCAAUGCAGCUGAUUGUGCGAGCUCUUAGAGGAAUUGAAAAAACACAAUGAGGAACGUAAAAAAUCUUAGGAAGUGGAAAAAGUUCUUCGUGGCCAUAGAGAGAUGCAAAAGUCAUUCGCUUACAUGUUGAGAAUAAACGCUCAUGUUACCCUGCAUGAGCAAAGGGUACAUGAAGACAGGGCUCGAUUUAAUGCCUGGCUAGAUGGAGAACAUUUUCCUUACGUUUUCGACUACUUAUCAAUUCCAUUUGAGGAAUGGUUGGUUGAAAAUACCGGGGGGUAAUUUUUCGCUCCGGCCGUAAUCAAACAUCGGCCUAAGAAAAUUGUUAAUUUGGCCAAAGAACAAAGGCCACCUAUUUUUUCGGUCGAGGCUGAAAAUAUGGUCGGCCAAGACAAAAAACCUAGGCCACCUAUUUUUUCGGUCGAUAUUGAAAGUGUGGUAGGCCUAGAAGGAAAAAUUCAAGUUUAUGAGCCACAAAUCGACUCAGAAAAUGAUUCGACUGAACAGUGCUCCAAUGAUGAACAAGGCUGAGACAUAGGCCUAGUCGGAAAAACCACGACAAUUGAUAUGAUUAUUGGUGAUAAAGCCGAUAUGGAGAAAUCUCAUUCGGUUAAAUUGUUUAAGUUAAAAGUUGAAAUUGGCAAAAUUAUUAUGCCCGGGGGGCGUAGUAAUUGUUCAAUACAUUCAGUAGUCGAUGAUAAAAAAUAUUUCACUAAGUCAAAAGUAUUUGGAGAUGAUUCUUUAUUCGGCCUAGAGCAAAAUCAAUUUCAAAAUUUUGUUAUUACAAGAUCUCGGCUUGGAAUAAAGCAUCGUUGGCCUUCUCCUGACUAUGGUUCGGCUACUUUUAUUUCCAUUUAAAAAAAAUAAAAAAGAAUAAAUUAUUUUCUUAAUCAUCUGGCUAAUUAAGUCGAUGCAUAAGAAAAUAAGGGGGCAACAACACUGCAACAAUCCAAAUAUAUAUAUAUAUAUAUAUAUUAGUUGGCCGAGGAAGUAAUCCAAAUUUGCUAAGAAGACGUGAUAUUGCAGCAUGUAUUUCAUUGUGUGUUUUCUGACGGUCGAGAGUCGGAAAAAAAAAAAACACUUUCAGCCUUUUAGGCCGAGGAUAAGCAAGAAGCAUAAGGGAUUUCAAAGGCCAAGAGUCGGGAAGAAAAUUCAGUGGAAUUGGAUUUCGGUGGGUCUGCACGGCCUUGGAUCUCACUGAGGUGAGGUUUACUGUUAAGACUUAUAUUCGCUUUGAGUAUUUGUGCCCUUACACUUUGGUGUCGAUUUGGCGUGAGUUUACUCUGACAAAUACUAUCACUGUGACCGAAUCCAACGACGACGAUUUGUGAACUUCGUAAGAAUAGUAGCCUUGUCUUCAAGUUCGAGAACCCAAGAAGCCGAGAUGUAUUCCUUCCUCGGUUGCAAUCACAAGACGCAGAAGUCGGCCGCGCACCUAACGCAACGUCAACAAAUUUUACUCCUCGGCCGAGCUCGGCCAAUGAGUUGGCACGCCCCACACACAACUGAAGGACUUAGUUAGCUCAUAUAUUACUCGGCCUACGCGCCAUGUAGGCUUAGUAGUUUUUAGGGUCAACAGAUUCAAAAACGAAAAAAUCAUACUUCUUGACGAGACGAAGAUAAUGGUACUUUUCUUGACCGCUAACUCGUCGUGGUUUGGCAGGAAAAAAGCUCGAAAGUGCCACUUUCGAGCCCUUUUUUUAUUUUUUAUUUCUCAGGUGAUUAAUACAAAAAAUAAGUGAGGAAUUUUGACAUGCAUCAAANAAGCAUAAAAAUUACUUUUGUCGAAUUUACUUUUUCUCAUAAGCUUAAGAACUACUGCUUACAUAACUCAUAAGAACUUUUAAUUCUUUCUUGGGGUAAAAGUGAAACGACAUAGGUCAUUAAGGAUUAAGCGAGUCGAAUCAGUCUUUAGAACUCGGUCGUCGAUUUGCUUCAACAGCCUACCUUCCCCCGCUGGGAGCGAUUGUGAUUUUUCAAAAUUUGAAGUCCUCAGAAAAGAAUUCAAUUCCAUUGGGUUGAGUGUCAUUGUCCUCAUCGUCGGCAUAUUCGAUGGCUUUGUGGGUAGUGUGUACGUGACCAUGAGUUUUGGUUAAGCAUGCCCUCCAUAUUUGAUUUUCAAUUCCUACACAAAUAGAAGUAUGCAACAAUCAGGUACGCAUUUACAUCAAUGAAUAAUAGAGGGGAGAAGAACAAGGUAGGGAUGGGAUGGAUCUUGACCCACAUGGAAUUGAUGUGUGAUUCUAUAGGAAUUGUGACCAACCAAAUGUUUAGGUUUAUUUUUUUUUCCCAAAUCUUUUCAUUUGAAGGAGAAAAUAUGUGUCCUUUGUCAUAUAUAAAAUAUAUAUGCCCUACCAGUCACCUAGUUGAUCAUUUGGGUAAUCAAAUUAUCUGUAUUAAAUUGUGGAGCACUUCCUUCUAAUACAGGUAAUACCCAUUAAUCUAAUCUAAUUGAUACAUUACAUUACAAAUUUUGUUUUUUUUAAAUGUGAUUAGUUGGUAGCUUCACUAUGACAGUUCACCUUUUUUAGGGCCGAAAAGACUCACAGAAAUAUUUCAGACUCUCCAUAGGCACUUCAUCAGCUCUAGAAAUCGAAUACAAUACGUAUUAUGUAGAAUACGAGCCAGAUACCAUUUCUUUAAUUAAAAACAAAUAUUGGUUUAAAAAAUCAAGGUUUUGGUCCAAUGUGCAUUUUCAGCACUCAACCAAAAGCAAAACACUUCACGAAUCAUGGCCAUGAGAUGUGCCCUUUUGACAAAAAAUUAAUAAGUAAUUAAUUUGGCUUUGACAACCCCAAUUAUCCCCUAGAUAAUACCAUUUUAUAAUCCUAAUGAUUAAAAUAUUGAAUCAAAGGUUUCACAUGGUGGUUAGUCGCUAUCGAAUAAAUCUAAUUGAUGCUACAACACAACAAGUUGUCCCACUCCACAUGAUGCUUCAUCCGUGUAAUCCAUAUAUAAACCAAUCUUUCCAAUACCUAAUUAAACCCCGUAUUUAAUUAUAUUAUCAUCCCAGAAUCAUGUGUACAUUUUUAUGUUUAUAUAUAUUGGAAAAUAUAUUUUUAUUUAUUUAAUUCUCUAAUCAAUGAAUUUGAGCAAGAUGCAUAUGGUCAUGGUUUGCUGAAAGCAUAUAGAAUAUCAUCAAGGUGACAAAUUAAUCCACAGAACAUAUUUUGAAUGAUGAAACUUGUAGUAAAAAUCACUCUCUAUUUUUUAUUUUAAACCUUAUGUUUUCAAAAAUGUGUCCAUUUUUUCUUCUUCUAUGUAAGCUAAUUGGAAUUAAUUUCAACUGCGGAUCCAAAAAUUAUACUCAUGAGGUCUUGGUGUAUAUAAGAUUUAUGUCUAGUUAGAGCAUUGAGGCAUUUUGUCAAGCAUUUUAGUUGCAUGUAAACAUUUGUCAAGCCAUGUGCUAGGCGAUCGAUAUAUGGAGAGCCAUGUUGCAUCUAUCAAGCAAUGUUGUUGAAGCUUGCCAAGCAUCAUUACCGAGAUCUGUCGAGCAUGCAUAUCAUCAAAACAUUAGUAGGAAAGGGACCUACCAAUCCAUUCUCCUAUCUUUCGGGGGUCUUGGGACCUGAUGGCCCUUUAAUGGUGUAGAGAGCUACUUCCGUAUUCGAGACCAGAAUAUCGUCUCUCGUUUUCACCUCCUUUGCAAUGAAGAAAAAAACUCAAAAAAGGAACUAGAUUUCCCACAAUUAGCCUGCCAGCUGAAGCAACGUGACUGAAUUACUUAAGCUUGAAUUAACCCAAUAUCAAGCUAAGAGAGUUAACCGCACUUUCAAUACACUUCCAACCCCUAUACCAAUAAUAUUGUUCAACCCAUUAAUUAAAUUUCAUUGCCUCUACCAACCAACAGUCCAGAAAACCAGCUGAAAACUUAUGUGUUUGCCAAUAUGUUAGUUGCCCUCUACCCAUCUCCCAUCUUCCAUCUUCCCAUGAUUCAAGCAAGGGCAACCUUCUCUAUCUUUAUUUCUUCUUUAUUCAAGUUUCUGUUAGAGGUCGCACUUGGUGUGAUGGCAAGUGCCUCGCCCAUGAGCGGUAGUCUCGGGUUCGAGACUUGGGAGCAGCCUCUCCAUAAAUGGGGUAAGGCUAGCCGACAUUCACCUCUCCCAGACCCUGCUAAAGCGGGAGAGCCUUGUGCACUGGGUAGACCUUUUUUUAUUCAAGUUCUGUUACAUUUUCAUUUGUCUUCCCAACGGCAACGAAAGGGGAUUGACAUAGCUUGAGAGACCUAAUUGUUUUUCUUGAUCAAACUGAAACCCCAAACUGGCAUUGUCAUAAAUUUCACCAAAUGAAACUAUUAGCUAAUAUCUUGUAUUUAGCUCCGGAAUCCGAUCCAUUUGAAUAUUACAAAUGCAUACGAUACGUCAAUUACUUCCAAAUGGAAUACAUAUAACGAGAGCCACUAUGUUAUCUAUUUAUCAGUCACAAUUGCAUAACUAGACGGCUUUUGAUUUAAGUGAGUUUUUUUAUACUUUAAUCAUAACCUAGAAAAUGAUCGUUCAGUUAUAAAAAUAUUGUACAAUAAACAUAUAUUAAUGAUUAGAACGUCGUAAAUUACUUACUGGUUGACUUGAACGGUCUAUAUUUUAAUAUGAACAAAGAGAUAUCCAACAAAUUGGUCAAUUUUGGAGCGAGGAUCCCUGUGAUUCUCAAAUCACAUCCGUUCAUCAUACAUCGUAUGGUCAAAAAUCAUUGUAAAUUUUUUAUUUAAAAUUGAAUAUAAAUAGUAGUUAUGAAAACUGAUCGACGAUAUACGAUAAAUUGAUGUAAAAUUCCCAAAUCUUCCCAAAGAGAUCCGGCAAAUCCUCUCUCAUUUCCUUGCCAUAAGAUAUUGCAUUUGGUGGCAAUGAAAAAUACUAGCACGCAUAAUCAUAUACAAGUAAACCAAAUGUUUAAUUAGAUAUUUGCAAGUACAAUCUACAUGUUCGAUUUGAGUACAAGACAACUUUGCCUAACAAGAAAAAAAUACAAGGUGAAGAGACAAGAAGACUCAUAUGAUGACUAGGGUUUCGAUUAAUUUUGGUUAAUAAGUCAAAAAAAUUUGGCAAAGAACGGUAGUUGCCCAAGUCUAAUCCUUUGGAAUACAAAUGAGCAUACUCAAACUACACAAAAACAUAAACUUGUUUUAAAUGUUAAAUUAGGUUAUGUCUUGUCAUUGGGCUAUUUACAUUAUUAGUGACAUGAAAAGUUGUCAACUCAAAAAUGAUCAAAUGUAAAGCAAAUAACAUUUAUUAGUGACAUAUAACAUUUUAGUUAAAAAAGAGCCAUGUCAAGUAAAAGUUACUCAACAGAAUAGAAAGUUAGAUUUGAUUCAACCAUUCCAUUAUACAUACACAACUCGUUAAACUCACCGUCACUUAGUCCUAUAUAAAUUUACGUAAGAAUAAUUCUCACUGAAGAUUACUUUAAGAUCAUCUUCAAUAUAGAUGUCAAUUUAAUUUUAUACCAUGUGGAGAUAAAUUUUUCCAGGAGCUUGAGAAGAAAUGUGCGGUGUACAUGCGACGCGAUGUGUACGGCACCAUGGGACGCGACGGAUUGCCGGUGAAGGAGAAAGUGCUGCUAGGGCUCGCGCUGGUGACUCUGGUUCCGAUACGGGUGGUUCUAACGACGACGGUGUUGGUGCUGACGACGACGGUGUUGGUGCUGUACUACUUGAUUUGCCGGAUUUGCACUCUCUUCAAAGUCCCCAAUCACGAUGAGCAGGAGCAGGAGGAUUACGCGCACAUGGGAGGAUGGCGGCGGGCGGUGAUUGUCCAGUGCGGCCGCGCCUUAUCCAGAGUAAUGCUCGUUGUCUUCGGCUUCUAUUGGAUCAGCGAAACCCAUCGAAUAUCAUCGGAUUCUGACCCCAAACCCGCCGCCCAGGUACUCUCUCUCAUCGUUUCUCUCUCUAAAGCAUGAAAAUUGAUUUCGUGAGAUUUUGAGCAGUGAAUUUUGAUGUUAAAUUUUUGGUUAGGGAAAAGAUGGGGCCGAAGAGAAGGAGCCUGAAAGGGCAGGGGCGAUUAUAUCGAAUCACGUUUCGUAUUUGGAUAUCUUGUAUCACAUGUCUAAUUCGUUUCCGAGCUUCGCUGCCAAGGUUUGCCACUCUCUUCACUUGUUCUUACUAAUUUUAUGGCACCGGAUGUGAAUUUUGAUUGAAAGAUGUUCCAUUUUUAUCUAUCUCGACCUAUUAUCUAUGUAUUGAUUCCCAUUUUUUGUUAUCCUGGAUUUUGUUGGUGAAGAGAUCGGUGGCGAAAGUUAGUAGUGUUAGACCGGGUCGUUAGUUUGUUUGAAGUCUUGUAUUUGGUUUCAAAGACUUCUCUCUUCGGAGUUGGAUAGGCUUAGGACUUUAUGUAAAUAGGGUUUUCAAACCCUGAAUGUAAUCUAUAUAUUGGCUAUAAAUAUACGCAACCCAAGUCUUUCUGGGUAUGCAAAGUUGAUGUGAAGCAACCCUCUUGUCAAAUAUACAAAACCUGCAGUCUCUUUUCAAAGACUGUUUCAUUUGCUUUCGCUUCCUUUAAUUUCAUUAUGUUUCUGAAAAUCUGUAGUUUAUCUGUCACCAUAGUAUUCCGUCAAUUCAUUUUCGGAUUGUUAGUUUUGACAGCAAGUGCCUGGGUUGUGUCUAUAUUCAGCGGGAGUUUUGUAAACACUCGUAAUGUGUUCACCGUAACUCGUGUGUUAUUGGAGGUAUCUAAGUUGAAAACUAUGAUCGAUCACAAGCGGAUUAUAUAACGAGUUUUCGGUUGGCUCCAGAGAGGAAGUAGCUGAACACCGAUUAUCCAAGAGGGUUCGAGUCAGAUUGUUGCUUACGGGAGGAGGUAAGAGCUCAGAACUAAUGGGAGAUUUCUCCAUGGCAUUGGCUUUUGCACUCUAAAAUGGAGGAAAGCUCGGGAGGACGGAUACAUCUAGCACAAGUUCAAUGCUUUAAAUGAAGUUUAUAAAAUUAACGAUUUAAGUUUUUAUGAUGAAAAUACAUUAUUCAAAAAAGGUGAAAUAUGUUCAUUACCCUGUGUGAAGAACGCGAGUAUGGAAGGAUUCUACUAUAAAAAAUAAGGGUGGGCAUAAAAAUCAUGGAACCGUGAAACCGAAUCGAACCACAACAAAAGAGACCAUAAAAUACAGUGUUGACAAAAAAAAAUAAUAAAUAAGUCAACUUAGGUUAUAGAACCGGACUGAAUCGUUCAUACCAAUUUCGAUUCUAGUUUUCACCUUAGAAGAACCGGCCAAACCAAAAUGAACGGCGAUUUUAAAUAAUUAAUCAAAAUUUAUUAGUUGUAUACAAGCGUCAUUAGAUAAGUGGUAAAAAACAAAUUGGUUUCACGUACUGCAACUGCACUUAAUCAUUUCUCAAUUAGGUUUUGUGUUCUUUCUUUUGAUCGAAUCGUCAUUCCUUAGUGCCUCGCUCGUUUGAUCCUCCUCCUCCAGUCCUUCCUCUCAUGAUAUUGGAAUCAAUUGUAGCAAUGCAAAUGGGCAUUCAAGGCCAGAUAAUUUAUUCCCUUCUGUGAUUUUUAUAUGGCAUUUGACUUGGUCUUGUACGUUGUGCUCUCAAAAAUUUAAUCAUGCCAUCAUGACGUAUUUCAACCAGUUACCACUUCUUGGUUCUUGGUUUUCUUACAAAGUCGGACUCAUAUUCGUUAUUUGGGCUGCAAGUAAUAAAUGCCCAAGUCUCCUCUGGAUCUCCCAAAAAAAAUAUCUAUCGUUAAAAGGAUAAACUCUAGACUAAUAAUACCAUAACUUUAACUAUUUAAUUAUUGAAUCAAUUGAUACUUUUAACAAUAAAUUAAAAAGGUGUUUCAAAGUUUUGACCUUGAGUAAGGACUUACUGAUCACUACUUUUUUCGUUAUUGAUACCAGCGUUUGUUUAUACAUUUUGUGUGUAUGAAUAUUUUUUUUAAAUGAGAAGGAGAGAGAGAGAGGUUUUUGUUUUUGGUUUUAUUUUUUAUUUAUUUUAAAUAUUACAAAUACUUUAACAUAACCUGUGAGGUUUCAAUAAAAACAGUAAAAUUUAGACCUAUGAAAUUACAUUAUUGCUCAUUAUUUAUUUUUUUUUAUGAUAGAAGACUAAAUAGUAUUUUCACCCUCUUUUGAUUGACAAAGGGAGUUAUAUUAACUAAUAGAAAUGCAGUAAUGAUAACUCGUCCUCCUUCAAAGUAACAUGGUGCGAAUUGGUCGACGAGCGGGUUAGGGGUGGCUGUCGAGAUGAUGGGGUGAUUGACUUUUUGUGAGUUUAUUUGUAUUUCUUUAAUUUUUAUUAUAAGAAAAGGAUAAAUUGCAUUUUGCACCCUUAAAUUUUAGUGAGAUUGCAUCAUCAUAUAAUAACUUUAAAAUAUUUCAAUCUCAUAUAUUUACUUAUCAUUUAUUUCAAUUUUAAACGUUCGUUAAAAAAUCUAUUAAGUUAACAGUUAAGUGAUGAUGUGGCAAAUAUAGAGUCCUUGAAAAGAAGACAAAAGGAAAAAAAAAGAAUAAAGCUUUAGUUAACGUUCCAUUAAAAGAUAGGCUUUUUAAUCAAAAUAGUCCUUGAGAUUUGCAUAACACAUCACUUUGGUCCAUAAGAUUUGAAAUCAAUAGAAGUGGUCCUUGAGAUUGUCCACUAUCAAUCAUUUUGGUUCUUAUGUGCAAAAUUAUGUUAAAUAAGGAUCAAAAUGAUAAAUAUACCUUCAAUUUAAUAAACAAUGGGCCAAAAUGAUUUGACAAAAUUAAGAGUAUUUUUUCAUUAUAUUCUUAUUUAAUGAAGAUUUUUAAAAAAAUGACCAAAAUGAUUGAUGAUGGACAAACUCAAGGACCAAUUCUAUUGAUUUCAAAUCUCAAUGAUCAAAGUAAGGAGUAAGGAGUUAUUAAAUCUCAGUAACCAUUUUAGAUAAAAAGCCUAAAAAAUAUCUAAUGGCUGAGCAUGUGAAUCCUCAUUUUUUACCUUCACCUGAAGAACCUAAAUAUUAUAAGAUUUAAUUUAAUUCAAGUCCAAUUUGAGAGUCAAUAUUAAGAAUAGUCCAUUUCUCGUGAUCUUUGACAUAAGUUCAUUCCACGUCAUCUAUUAUAUAUAAAGAGAGAAGAAAAGGUGAAUAGUAUUUUGGUGUCACCAAGCUUCAACAAAAGAAAGGGACAAAAAUGCCCCAUAAACAAAAAACUUCAAAGGCAUCCCAAAAUAAUGCAUCAAAUAAGGUAGGGGCAUUUUUGUUAUUUUAAUAGUAUUUUUUUAAUAAUUAAAUUAUUUUGUGGUUUUUUUUUAAUUAUUACCUCACAAUAGGCUACCAAUUAUUUGAUUCAAUUUAUCUAUUUCUAAACAAGACGUGUAAUGCCGAUUAUAAAAAGGAUAUUUCACACGUGGAUAAUAAUGUGAUUAAAUUAGUUGUCAAAUGAUUGUUUUUUUUGUUGUUGUAACAAAUGAUAUUAUCUAUACUAAGGGGGAGGAAUGUGAGUUUAGCCUCACAAUGGGCUAGCAACAAUGUGAUUCAAUCAGUUGUUUAUUAAAUAUUAUUUUAUCUAUUUUAAACACGUUCAAAAAAUCUUAAGAGGCUUGUAAUGCCGGUUAUAAAAAAAGUCUUUCGCACUCGUAUAAUAAUUUGAUUAAAUUAUUUGUUAAAUGAUUAUUUUUUUUAUUAACAAACGAUAUUAUCUACAUUAAGAGGAAUGAGGUGGGCUUAGCCUCACAAUGGGCUAGCAAUAAUGUGAUUCAAUCAAUUGUUUAUUAAAUAUUAUUUUCUCUAUUCUUAAUGUAAAAUUUAUAGAGAUCGAUUUUAUUAUGUGAAUUCAACUGCUUUAAUUGGUUUAUGAGGGGUUUCUUCUAGCAUGAUAUAAGAUUAUUCAUUUACUUCAAAUAUUUGACUUUCCUUUUGUCAAUUUACACACAUAUAUACAUUUAAAACGUAUAAGUCGCGCAUAGCACGUUGUGAUUCAAAAAAUAUCUUCUGCACGUUCGUGAGCGCAUGCAUAGAAGCUAGUUUUUAUUAUCUUUUAAAUUGUUAAUCUUUAUUUCAAUUUGGCCCUUAUAUUUUAAAUUAUCUCUACUCCUUUUUUCAAGGAUUUUUACUUCUCUUUUUAAAUAUCCAUUGCUAGUUUGAAUUUCUCCCUUUUGAAUUCCAAAAAGAUGGGCAUCCGCCCAUUUUCAACCUGCACACGAAAUCAAACACAUAGACAAAGUAAGUAACACUAAUGACAUGUUUACGUAAGGGUAAUCGGAAUAAAGAAAGGGAAUUGAAUUCCGAUUACGGAGUAUUCCGGUGUUUACUAAAUAUUAAGGAAUCAAAAAAGUGGUGGAGCCCACACGAAACAAGGAAUCCAAUUCCUGAAAUUGGAGGAACCGGAUUCCCUAGUUUUGUGAGGUAUUUGAAUUCCCUAAGGGCAAGGGAAUCAGGAAUGCAUCUUUUAUUCCAAUUAUGCCCUCACUUGUUUCUUAUUAUCCCAACAUUGCCUUUCAUUUGACACUCAUUAUGUCAUUUUUAAUAAAUAAAUAAAACCUAUUUAUAUUUUUUUAUAUAGAUAAUUUUAUUAUAUAAAUUUAAUUAAGAAUUUAAUUUAAUUAAUUAGUAUGAAAAUAAUUUAUUUAUGUAAGGGCAAUUUAAGAGGUUGCACUUGGUGCGAUGGCAAGUGCCUUCGCCCAUGAGCGGUAGGUCUCGGGUUCGAGACUUGGGAGCAGCCUCUCCAUAAAAUGGGGGUAAGGCUAGCCGACAUUCAUCUCUUCCAGACCAUGCGUAAAGCGGGAGUCUUGUGCACUGGGUACGACCUUUUAUGUAAGGGCAAUUUAGUCAUCAACUUAGUUUUCAUUCCGAUUGAAGUGAAUUAGUAAACAACUUAUAUAGACUCAAUAUCAUUUUUGCCAUCUUUUAAUAAAUAAAUAAAACCUAUUUAUACAUGCUUAUAUAGAUGAAUUUUAUUAUAUAAAUUUAAUUAAGAAUUUAAUUAAAUUAAUUAGUAUGAAAAUAAUUUAUUUAUGUAAGGGCAAUAUAGUAAUCAACCUAGUUUUCAUUCCGAUUGAAAUGAAUUAGUAAACAACUUAUAUGGACUCAACAUCAUUCCUACUCCGAUUCCUGACAGUUUUAGUAAACAACUUCAACAGGAAUCUGAUUCUGAUUCCACCUCAUUUCAAUUCCUCCUCAAUCCAAUUCCCCCUCAAUCUAAUUCCUCUCAAUUUGAUUACGGAUUAGUAAACACGCCAUAAAAUUUGUUGACGUAGGGUGUGUGGUCCAGGUAGUCGUAGUACAUUGGAUCACAUCCAUCACGUGCCAACGAAAACGGAUCUCUAUUGAAAUGCCGCAAUAUUAUAUGAAAAAUGUUAAGAAGAUUUUGUUGACGUAGGGUGUGUGGUCCAGGUAGUACAUUGGAUCACAUCCAUCACGUGCCAACGAAAACGGAUCUCUAUUGAAAUGCCGCAAUAUUAUAUGAAAAAUGUUAAGAAGAUUUUUUUUAAAAUGAAAUUAUAUAUAAAUUUCUGUUACUUCAUAAUUUAACGUUAAUUUUUGUGCAAAUAUUAUAGAACAUUGUGCAAAAAAUGAUGGGUUAAAAAGUUCACACAAAGUCACACUUUACGAGAAUAUUCUUAACAUUUUUUUAUGUUAUAUUGUACACAAACUAGAAAAUAUUAUAUAAGUUUAAAUAAUAAAGAUAAAGCCACGUACAGCCCUCGAAGAAAUAUCACACUUUUCACUAAUCAGCUUGAUGCUCCUUAAGUACUCAUGAGUUUUUUUGUUAUUGUUUUUUUACUAAUAAGUUUAUAAUAAUAAAAAUACCAAAUUAUAUUGUCAGACAACGUUGAAUAUGUAGGUUCAUAUGUUAAUUAUUUGAGGGGUUCUUUUAGGGCCAAUAAAAUAUAAGCAACGCCAACUUCGAAAAGGAACUACAAAAGAAACAACUUGUGAUGAUUACAAGAAUGACUCUGCACUUAAAACUACCAACGAAGUCAUUAAUUGUGUAUGUACCAUACUUCACCAAUCCCGAAACUACUGAGUACCGGUCAACGUUAUACCGUCAAUGACCCAGAAGAAUUUCCCUCCAACCAGGAAGCCAAUCGUAGCACGACACGUGUCGACAUCAGAAGCCAAUCAUAGCGCGACAAUGUCAACAUCAGAAGGCAAUCAUAACACGACAUGUGUCAAUGUCAGAAUGAAACUAGAAAGUCUCUUCUAUAAAUAUAGAUCAUUCUUUCACAAUAUUUCAUAAUGUCAUUUGUACUAAAUCAUUCACUUGUACUCACUAAAUGAGAGCUUGAACCUAUGUACUUGUGUAAAUCAUUUGCAAUUAAUGAGAACUCCUCUACUCCGUGGACGUAGCCAAUCUGGGUGAACCAUGUACAUCUUGUUUUUGCUUCUCUAUCUCUAUCCAUUUACAUACUUAUCCAUACUAGUGACCAGAGCAAUCUAGCGAAGGUCACAAACUUAACACUUUCUGUUGUACCAAAGUCCUCACUUAUUUUGUGCAUUAACAAAUUGCAUUAUGAUAAAUUGUACCAACGUCACCAUGAGACAUGAAAGAAAGACUCAAGCUCAAAAAGAAAAAUCUAACAUGGACGAAAGUCGCACUAUCUAUUAUAUAUCAAGCGAAUAGGGCAAUGAAUAGUGCCAAUUUGGUGUCACAGCUUUGACAAAAUAUUAGGACAAAAUUGCCCCUCAACCAAAACAAAUCCAAAAACAGCCCAAUAUAAUAUAUCAAAUAAUGCAGGGGUAAUUUGGUCAUCAUAAAAUAUAAUAUAAAUAUAAGUGGGAAGAGAGAAAAGAAUAAAAAAAAUAAAAAGAUGAGUAAAAGUUGAUGGUGCCCUCGUAAGGGGGAAAGAAAAAUAUAAUUAAAAGGAAAAUCAUGAAUAUUUUGUUCAAAACAUCUUACGAGGCGCGUAGUGCCAGUGAUAAAUUAGUACAUUUAAAAAAAAAAAUUAGUACCUUAUAAUAUGGGUGGGCACGAGCCGGGCCGGGUAUCACAAAUAUGAUCACUGAAACCGGACCUAACUCGGCAAAUUUGAUCACUGGAACCAGACCUAACUCGGCCCGUUUGAAAUGGCCCGGUUCGGGAUGGGUCCACGGGUCAUUUUUUCCGGUUUUGAACCCCUCCCGAACUCGCCAUCAUCCAGAAUCCUAGAUCCUAUAUCUUCGACUCUGAUACCAGAACCAAAACCUAAUUGUUUUAAAACCUCAAUUCUCAAACCAAACAAACAAACAAAAAAAAUCAAAAAAUUAGAAGGUUGGGGGAGAGAGAGAUCAAGAGGGAGGAGGUUGAGAAUCGACAAAUCCAAGGUGUGAGAAAUCGGAGACAUAUGCGUUGGGAGAGAGAGAGAGACUAGGGGAGAGAGAGAUCGAGAUGGAUGAGGUUGAGAAUCGACAGAUCCAAGGUGUGAGAAAUCGGAGACACAUGCAUUGGGAGAGAGAGAGAGAUUGGGGGGGAGAGAGAUCGAGAUGGAGGAGGUUGAGAAUCCACGUAUCCAAUGUGAAAUCGAAGACAAAGGUGUCGGGAGAGAGACUGGGGGAGUGAGAGAGGGAGGAGACUGGGUAGAGGAGAGUGACGAGAGCAUUCGAGAAGGUGUGAGACACUGGUGGAGGUUGCGGUGGGGUGUGGGUGUGGUGUGUCUGCUUCGGGAAUGAGAGUUGCAGAGAUAUGUGUGGUAAAGGUAGGAGAGGCAUGGAGAGUUGCAGAGAUGGGAGAGGAAUGAAGAGUUGCAAAUAUGGGAGAGAAUGAUCAAGAUAAGAGAGAGUGAGUGAGCCAAGGUGACAAUGUUCUCGAGAUUGAGAACUGUCACGGGAUGCCUGGGAGACAGUAAUCUUUUCAAAAUUGGGAUGUUACACAAACGGGACCCCGGGUACCCAUUUUUUUUAUAAUUUUGGACUCAGCCCACCCCUAAAAUUCUAAAGCCCUGCCCUGCCCCGCCCCGUUUCUCUUUUUAAAAAUUAAGAACCAUCCCGUACCCGCCUCGACCCGCGGUUCCUGUACCCGUUUGCCCACCCCUACCUUAUAAUAGACUAGCAAUAAUGUGAUUCAAUCAGAUGUUGUGAAUAGUGAUUUUGGUGUCACCAAACUUCAACAAAAAUAUUUAGACAAGAUAAAAAAACUUCAAAGACAUCCCAAAAUAAUGCAUCAAAUAAGGCAGUUUCGUCAUUUUAAUAGUGAUUCACAAUAAGCUAGCAAUAAUGUAAUUUAAUUUCUCUAUUUUUAAACACGUUCAAAACAUUUUAAGAGGCGUGUAAUGCCGGUUAUAAAAAAGGCAUUUCACAUGCGGAUAAUAAUAUGAUUAAAUAAGUUGUCAAAUGAUUGUUUUUUUUUUCUUUUCAACAAACAAUAUUAUCUAUACUAAAGGAAGGGGGUGGGCUUAGCCUCACAAUGAGUUAACAAUAAUGUGAUUCAAUCAGUUGUUUAUUCAAUAUUAUUUUCUCUAUUUUUAAACACUUUCAAAACAUUGUAAGAAGCGUGUAAUGCCGGUUAUAAAAAAAGUCUUUCGCACGCGGAUAAUAAUGUGAUUAAAUUAAUUGUCAAAUGACUGUUUUUUUUUUUUUUUUUUACAAACGAUAUUAUCUACACUAAGGGGGAAGAGGGUAGGCUUAGUCUCACAAUGGGCUAGUAAUAAUGUAAUUCAAUCAAUUAUUUAUUAAAUAUUAUUUUCUCUAUUCUUAAUGUAAAUUCUAUAGAGACCGAUUUUAUUAUGUGAAUUCAGUUGCUUAAUUGAUUUAUGAGGGAUUUCUUCUAGCAUGAUCUAAAAGUAUUCAUUUACUUCAAAUAUUUGACUUUCCUUUUGUCAAUUUACACAUAUAAAUACAUUUAAAACGUAUAAGUCGAGCAUAGCACGUUGUGAUUCAAUGAAGGCUAGUAAUCUAUAAAACCCACAUCAUAAAAAUUCAACUUCAUCUCUUGCCAAACCCACACUACUCAAAACAACCACAGAUUGAAGAUUUUGAUAGAAAAAUUGGAUUGAAAAAGGAUAAAAAAAUAAUUGAUAGAGAACUCAAAAAUAAGCAAGCUUAAGCACGAACUUAAUCACCACAAAAGGGACUAAAAAAAUUAGUAUGUCAUCAAUGUGUGAUAAAAAAAAUCACUUGGUGGCUUAACCACAACAGUUUACCUUUUUGAGGACCAAAAAGACUUACAGAGUCACUUCAGCAUCUCUUUAACCAAUAUUGUGUGAUUUAUACGUUUCAAGAAUCUAUCUCAAAACAUACCGCAAAUAAAAUAUGAGUCUGAAAUACAUUUUUAAUCAGUGGGUCAUCCCGAAGCAGUUAUAGACCAUUAUUCAAUGUAUAAAAAUCACAAGUGCUAGACCAAUUCCAGGGCAGAGUUUUUUUGUAAGGUUAUUUUCGUUGGACCAGACCAAUUCCAGGGCAGAGUUUUUUUGUAAGUUAUUUUCGUUGGACCAGACCAAUUCCAGGGCAGAGUUUUUUUGUAAGGUUAUUUUCGUUGGACCAAUGAUAUUAAAAUUAUGCAUAGAUCACACAGAAGACAAUCCUAUCUUACUUGCAAGUUGCAUCGAACAGACAAGUAAAGGGUCCAAACCAACCAUGUCAUAAAUAAUCAAGUUCUUCAUAAUGGAUUUGGAUCCUCUCCUGAACUAAUGGAGGGGAUCCUCCUGACUAGUUAUUAUGGGCCAUUAGAUUUUUAUCCAACGGCUAUAAAUAGAGAAGCCACUUUAAAGUUAUAAUAAUUAUAACCGUUAGAUUUUUAUUUAAUGGUUCAUGAUAACUGGUCAGGAGGAUCCUCUCCAUUAUCUCCAGAGAGGAUCCAAAUCCCUUCAGAAUAACCAAAUUCGUCGAGAAAAACGUGGGACCGUGCAAUUUAACGACUUGAUCGUUCUUUAAUAAAUUGUAUAUAGACAAUAAAAUAUUAUGGGAUAAGUUUAAAUAAUAAGUAUAAAGCCAUCUCGAAAGUCGUCGAAGAAAUAUCACACUAUUCACGAAUCAGCUUGAUUGCUCCUUAAUUCAACAUUUGACUAAUGAGUUUAUAAUAUUAAAAAUAAUAAAUUAUAAUAUCAGACAACGUGGCAUAUGCGGGAUCAUAUGUUAAUUAUUUGAGGUUUCUUUGAGGGUGACCCAACUUGUUAUAAAAAUCACAAGCGCUAGAUCAAUUCCAGUUUAGAGUGUUUUUUGUAAGGUCAUUUUCUUGGGGGUAGUGAUAUUAAAUUACAUGGAAGACAACCUCAUCUACUUGUAAGUUGCAACGAACAGACAAGGAAGGGUUGAAUGUCUCAUUUUUCUAUCUUUAAUCAACCACGUCACUCUUAAUUAAAUAGAAAAGUAAUCAAUCACGUAAUUGACGAGUGAGAAAAGUCUUCCAAAAACUACAUAAUGUAGCACCAAUAUGAAUAAUUGCUAUAAAAAAAAAGCACAAAUGAAGCAACCUUAGGAGAACACCAAAGCAGCAGUUGCUGCCUUUUCCAAAUGGUUCCCCCGUUCUUCUAAAAAAAACUCUUAAACUACCAAGGUUUUGUUUUCAUGUGGUAGAAACAUGGAAACUCGUAAAUAACUAAUUAUUUAUAUUAUUACACGUAUUAAUUAUGUUUAAAAGAUAAAAUUAAAUAUAUGCGGGUCGGUUUGGUUAAUUGCACCCUAAGAAUUUUGAUAAUCGAUUAAGGUCAGUGCAGUUUGGUUUAGCCAUCGAAUUUUUUUUUUUAAAAGCCCAAACCAAACCAAACCGCCAGUGCAAUUUGGGCGGUUUAGUUGGUUUUUUAUUUUUUUAAUGCCCAGCCCUAUGUUCUACGUAGAACCCGACAUAAUUUUUUCUCUCAAUAACUAAGAUCCACAUAAGCAAAUUCAUCAAUUAUACUUUACUUAAAAUUUUUUUUUUACAUUUUCAAAUGCUUCAAAUAUUCCUAUUGCAUGUUUGAUGUACACAAUUAAUUCUAUAUGGGCUCUUUUAGGUUUGAUUAUCAUCAAAGAUAAAUUUGAAUCAUAUUAUUACAAACCCAUUGUAAGGCUUAGCUCACUCCCCCACCCUUUUAAUGUAGAUAAUAUUGUUUGCUUAAAAACAAAACAACAAUCUAUCUUUUACCUUUUAGUUGGUCAUAAUUUUUUCAUUUCACCCCUCAACAUACCUCAGAGAUAAAAAGUUACCUAUUUCAAUACAAUCAUACGUACUAAACGAUCCCAUAUUACUCCUAUAUAUACGUGUGUGUAUGACAAGGCGAUAAAUCAACUUAAGCCUUUGCCCAGUUCAUUGCUCAGUUCAGUAAAAAUCAUUUUGUCUCUAGCUUUCUAAUUAUUGAGUUGCAAAAAUGGAUUCUCUCCCAUAUGUAAACUCUAUCACUGCUGGCUUGUUCACAGUAAUCAUCGUGUUCUAUUACUUGUCACGAAGAUGGAGAGCUGCAAAUCACAAGCGCAAAUUAUCACCACCUGAAGCCAAGGGCGGUUGGCCUAUAUUUGGUCACCUUCCUUUGUUUGGAGGCUCCAUACCUCCUCACUUAACUUUGGGAGCCAUGGCGGACAAGUACGGACCCAUUUUCACUAUCCGCCUUGGCGUCCAUCCGUCGUUGGUGAUAAGCAGCAGUGAGAUCGCAAAAGAAUGCUUCACAACCAAAGACUUGAGCAUAAUCUCACGCCCAAGGAUGGUGGUUCUAGACCACGUUAGCUACGACUACGCCAUGUUUGGGUUCGGACCAGGUGGACCCUUUUGGCGAGAAAUUCGCAAGCUAGUCACCUUGGAGUUGCUCUCAGUCCGGAAGGUUGAGCUGCUCAAGCACAUUCGAGUGUCGGAAGUGGCUACUUUCUUAAAAGAAUUGCACGAACUUUGGAGUACAAAGAAAAAGGAGGGCUCGAAAGAUGGAGUGGUUGUAGAGCUAAAGCAAUGGCUUGGGGACAUGACGCUGAACGUGAUUCUUACAAUGGUGGCCGGAAAGCGGUAUUCCGUGGCUGCCGCUGGGGAUGAGAAGAAAGAAGCGCGUAAGGUUCAGACUGCAUUGAGGGAGUUAUUUGAUUAUCUGGGCAUGUUUUUGCUGGGUGAUGCGGUUCCUUAUCUGCGGUGGUUGGAUUGGGGUGGACAUGAGAAGGCAAUGAAGAAAAGUGCAACGGA